AAGAGUCAUUCUUGAGAAGAGAAAGAAACUUCAAACCUGAUCACUGGAAACCUUUAAUCUAAAAGCUCUGAUUCUCAAAGACAAGUUGCUGAACGUUCAUAAAAUGCAAAACAAAUAGGGAAUCUCUAAAAAUAGAAUAAUUCUAGAAACUGACAUCAGAAAUGUGAAUUGAAAUCAUUACUCUACAAAAGAAAGACUGACACCUUUCCACCUCUUGCCUCACUUAUGGGGUGUCACACACGUGUGCUUAGGAGGUAGUCAACAAACCUUGAGAACAACAGAAGAUAAACAAUAAAAACAUUCACUCGCCGACAACACUUCCGGUAUCAGAAAAUGGCUCCAUACAGACCACUACAUCUAUGAUGAUGUUACCUUCGGCUCAACAGGCUGACAUCACAUCCGGUCCAUCCUCGAUAAUGUCACUUCCGGUCCACCCUUGAUGACACCACUUUCUGGCUCAUCAUGAUGAUGUCACUUCUGUUCCACCCUUGAUGACGUCACUUUCGGCCCAUCGUGAUGACAUCACUUCUGGUCCUUCAAUGAUGAUGUCUCCUAUGGCUCCUCAAGAUGACGUCACUUCCGUUAAUGCCACUUCCGUCUUUUUCAUCAUUUCCUGCAGCCAUUUUGUAUAAAAACGAUCAUUCAUCUCCUGUAAUUUGUCAACUGUUUGUUUUAUUUCACCCAAUAUUGACCCAAUUUUGCUGCUAUUACAUAAAGAAAUUCCCCAACUCUUUUUUGCAGUUUCUGCAUGCUUUAUUCUGCAUGCUUUAUUACAGGUGUCGGUCCACUUGGACCCGCCUCUUCCUCUCAGAAUGCCUGAAAUCCAUAAGAGCUGCCAUCUUCGGGAGUUAUCCUAAGGAAAAUGUCCGAGAAAGACUCGUUUUCCAUUUUUACAUGUGUUUAUUUUUCUGUUUGAGCUCUUUCAAUUAUAUGGGUUUGGCCGAAACGUG
Molecule: long non-coding RNA, 950 nt
Organism: Polypterus senegalus (gray bichir)
Lineage: Eukaryota; Metazoa; Chordata; Cladistia; Polypteriformes; Polypteridae
Exons: 3
Source: RefSeq, a predicted model, not a curated record